GUCGUUUGAGUGGAAGGUCCAACCAAAGUUCAGCAGACGCAGGUCGAUAGGGAACAGUAGUUUUGCUGUGUGUACUCAUCGCCCACAGGAUGGAGGGUUACUUCAGAAGAGCACCACUCUGGAAGUCCCUAUUGAAGAUUUAAAGCCAUAUUCUCUGUGGCUUCUCAGUUUCCUCCAUCAUGUCAGAGACUCGACCAAUGCCUGUACAAACUGAGGUGCCUUCAGAGUCUCCAGAGGUGGAGUGUCCAGUUUGCUAUCAGGAGUACGACCAGAGCUCCAAACUCCCACGCAUGCUAGAAUGCCUUCACGUCUUCUGUACAGAAUGUCUCCGUAAGAUCCAGCUCACUCCUUUGCACCCCCCAGACCCCAACAGCGCCCCCUCAAUCUCCUGCCCCCUGUGCCGCCACUCCACCCCGCUACAGAGUGGCGAUGCAUACUCUCUCCCCUGCAACUCACGGAUUCUUGCCCAGUUGCCUCCCGUAGCCUUCCGUCUGCCUGCGUCGGUGUCUGCCCGGCUGGCCACGGUGACCCAGCGCUUGGUGCUAUCUCUGGGGGAGAGGGAUACCCGAUUCAUAAUCCUGCCCACUGUUAGUCUGAGGGUGGAGCAGAUGGGAGAAGGCACAGAAAUGGUAAACCCACCUAGGGUGCUGCAUCGAGAGAUUGAGGUUCUGAGGAGACACAAGAAGACCCUGAUGUGUGUUCAGGUUCUGGCUGUCAUCUUCUGGAUUAUGUUUGUGCUGACUUGUGUGAUUGGAGUUGUGUUUGGGCCAAACCUCUUUCAUAAUUGAAAGAUUAAGGACAUGGGUGUAUCUUGUUACAUUAAUAUAUUUAUUCUGUCCCUGCAUUUUUCAAAUGACAACAUUUAGAUCAUUAUAAAUAGAUCAUUUUGAUUACAUGUAAAACCUAC
This is a long non-coding RNA of Cyprinus carpio carpio, 907 nucleotides long. Lineage: Eukaryota; Metazoa; Chordata; Actinopteri; Cypriniformes; Cyprinidae. The record is from Ensembl.